This 5157-nucleotide long non-coding RNA is filed under the name Sus scrofa (pig). RNAcentral's name for it is "lncRNA (ENSSSCG00065007595.1)". Lineage: Eukaryota; Metazoa; Chordata; Mammalia; Artiodactyla; Suidae. The record is from RNAcentral.
CAACGUCGGUGGAGACUUUCUCGGCCAGUGUCAAAUCUGAUUUUGGCAUUGAGGUCGGCGUAACUGAGCAUAAACAUGCCCCUGAAGAAUUAGGACACUUCUCAGCGAGUCGUCUGCCUUUUGGGGGUACACAGGAAGUCUGUAUUCAGUACCCAUGGGAUGCUGUGGCUGUGACACGUGUUUUCUGUGACAGUCAUUUGCAUUUCUCCUCAUCAUUGGGCGUACCGUUCCGCUGACUCAAUCAGAAGUGCCCAUCUCGGAAGAUGAAACACUUCCAUUGAAGGACAUCAGAGGGGAAUAAAGGACAGUGGACGUUCCUGUCCCCCCGCAUUAAUGGCUUCACCGCCUCGGGGGAUCCAGGGGAUGUAUGACACCCCAAAGAUGCAGUGUUGUCCGGGAGACUGCAGUCCUCACGGUUUUAUUUGCCACACAUCGUGGGUGAAAGAGACGGAUUUGACCUUCUUUUGCAAGGUUCAGGAAAACCCUUUGCAAAAUAUGCUGAUGCUUUUCUUUGAUUGCAGAAUUGCAUUAGUCUCACUACUGAUGGUAGAAGUGUGUUGGGCUGGUCCACAUGGCUCCUCAGCACACCGUGGGCUCCUGUUAAAAAAAAAAAAAAGUGUAGGGAGUUUCCUGGUGGCCUCAUGGUUGGCGACGUGGCAUUGUCACUGCUGUGGCUUGGGUUCCAUCCCUGGCCUGGGACCUUCUACAUGCCUCGGUGCAGUGAAAAGAAAAAAAAAAAAGAAAAAAAAGGAAAGUGUAAUUCCUAUGAUUAGGAUUGAGAGUCCAGGAAAAUUUUACCCUUGCCAUUACCUGAUUUGAAAAAGAAAGGUCGUCGGAUUUCCCCAGACAUUGUUUGAGGAAAGUCAACAAACAAAAGCGUCAUUCAGGUUUCUUUCCUGAUUCUUCUGAGACAAGCGGGGUGUCCCAUCUCUGUGUUCUUAGUGCUCUCUGCACAUCCCUUUAUCAUGACCCUGGGCCUACCGCCCUGGAAUUCAUUGUCUGCAAGUCUUUCUCUGGUUCUGGACUGGAGAGCAGAAACCACGUCAUACUUCUGUUUGCACCCCCAGCACUUAGCAAAGAAAGGAAUACAUACUGGCUGUAAAAGCCCUGAAGAAACCCUUGAGCGGAUUACUGACUGGCCACAGAAUUGGAAAGAAGCUUGAGUACCCAGUCAGGAAUCGUGUGCUUGGCGAGGACACCGUCAGCGAGCUCUGAUGCUUAGGCUGAAAUGCUGACACGAAGUGAAGCAGCAUGGAAACCAGGCAUUUCCUCUGGAUAAGGAGUGUAAACUCUUUUCAGUAUUUGGAGCGGAUCGACUCCUGAUUCUAGCAGCCUGGUAGAAGGAGGGAGGUAGGGAGAGCUUAUCAAACAGCUGGUUGGGCUCACAUGAAUCUAUAUGCGGUUUUCUGUUUGUUGGUUUUGUGUGUGUGUGUGUGUGUGUGUGUGUGCUGUGCCUGCAGCCUGUGGAAGUUUCCGGGCCAGGCAUCUAACCUGCGCCACAACAGUGACAAUGCUGGAUCCUUAACCUCUAGGCCACCAGGGAACCCCUGAAUCAGUAUGUUUUGAUGCCUCUACUGCAGAUGCUCAACCAGAGGCACUGAUCAGGGCCCACUUGGAGUUAAUCUGGUCACUGCGGAAUGCCUUUCAAAAUGGGAAUACCCCAGGCUUCAUGGAUACACUUUCGGGAAUAGUGUGUUUAUGGGAUCACCCAAGGAUGACCUGAUGCAAAGAUUUUAAGAAGUCCUGGAAAAUUCUGGCUUGUUACCUGGGAGAAAAUCACCAUGUACAUAAAAAUGAAAGUAAUUGCUAAGUCCCCUGUCACCUGCUUUCCAAAGAGGCAGGCCACUUGUCACCCUCAAAAUGAGAGUGCUUUGAGCCUUCUUAAGUUCAUUAUACUUUCAACACCUCCCUUUCUUCCUUUCUUCCUUCCUUCGUUCCUUCGUUCCUUCCUUCCUUCCUUCCUUCCUUCCUUCCUUCCCUCCCUCCCUUCCUUCCCUCCCUCCCUCCCUCCCUCCCUUUCUUCCUUCCUUCCUUCCCUCCUUCCCUCCUUCCCUCUUUCCUUCCUUCCCUCUUUUGCUCUUUCUUUGGCUGUUUUUUUACGGCUGCACCUCCCACUUGCAGAGGUUCCUCGGCCAGGGAUUGAACCUGUGCCACACCUGCAACUGAAGCCACUGCAGUGACAACACUGGAUCCAUAACCCUCUGACCCACCAGGAAACCCCUCCCCACAUAUUUCUGACAUGAAACUCUCCGUUUCUGAGCCAAUGCAUCACCUACAUGGUGAAGAAAAAGAGCAGCAUCUGGAGUUGGACUCUUGAACAGGAAGCUGACUUUUGUAAUAUGAAGCAGCUACUGAUUUCUCUGUGUGCAUUCAGAGGAGCAUAAACCACCUGGCUGAGUUGAGUUGUGUCUAUCCAUAAAACUCCAGAUGGCCCCAAGACACCCGCUAUGCUUACUAAUCAAAAGCACUGUCAUCCACGUACCGGCUUAAUACACAGAUUGACAAACGCACGCAGUUAUCGUGGGACUAGGGAAGGUUUAUCACCGUGCCAGCUCCCACGCCUUUACAAUUCGUAAUGUCUACAGACCACUUUGGGUAUUUUUCUCCAAGAAUAAAUCAGUCCCUUUAAUCUUGUUAUCAUCGAUGCAUCGCCGAGGUAUUUUGCUCUGUGCUUCUACCUGUUUACAAGAUGAAUGCAACUCUUCUUUUCGGAUCGCAAACCAGCAUAUGAUGCAAGAACCAACUUGCAACUUGAGACUCCUGGAAAUCCCAUCACACAGCCAUCAGUGUUUUCAGUAAAUGAAUAGGAAUUUGGAACUAUGUUGCUGUCACCAAACCAGAUCUUAGAGAAAAAUUUCCCUGCCAUUGGCCCUUGGCGGUGUUGGUGUUGACCGCUGAACCUGGCCUUGCUUCAGAGAUCUCUGUGCCUUCUGCUUGAAGGAGGGGAGAUGGUCUCUGCUGUUCUCCACCGUCCCCUUUAAAGGAAAUCUUGCAGUAAUGAAGUCGACGUGUAUCCAUGAGGACACGGGCUUGAUCCCUGGCCUCACUCAGUGGGUUAAGGAUCCGGUGUUGCCAUGAGCUGUGGUGUAGCUUGCAGAUGCGGCUCAAAUCUGGCAUUGCUGUGGCUGUGGUGUGGGCCGACAGCUGCAGCUCCCAUUCGACUCCUAGCCGGGGAACCUCCAUAUGCUGCUGGUACAGCCCUAAAAAGAUGGGGGGGGGGAGGGAAAUCUUGCAAAUAGUCCACUUUACAGUUUAUACCAGUAGCAGUGACUUUUUUUUUUAUAUGACUUGCAUUAUGGCGGCUAUAUUUUUCUGAAUAUUGAAAAAUGGGAGAGUCUUGAACAUGUAAUAACUUUGGACAGCAUAAUAUAUUAUGCAUAAGCUACAGUGGAAGAAUAAUUAAUCGUCUAAUACAUUUCAUCUGAAUAUUGUUUGUCCAAUUAUUUUUAUAUUUUGGUUCUUCUUUGUAUUCCUUAAUCCCCCUCCAAAAAAGAUGUAUUUUAGGAAUAGGUAACUCUGACAUUGACUAGUUCUAAUUAUCCAAAUAGACACUUCUGAGAUGAUUUUUAAGAUGAGGCCCUAAAAGGAAAAAGAAGAAAGUUAGCUUUUGACUUUUGCACAAGCAAUUGAGUUACACUUCCCAGGAAUAAAACUUUUCUUUUUUUCAACAAAAUGUACACCCUAAUAGCCAUGAUAUGAUCAAUUCCAGAUUUCAAAAUGAUGGGGAAAUCAUAUAUUAUUAUUUUUAAUUUAUUUUAUUGAAGUGUAGUUCAUUUGCCAUGUUGUGUUAAUUUUAUUUACUUAUUUACAAUGUAUUUUAUUGACGUAUCCUUGAUUGACAAUGUUGUCUUACCAGGAAAUCAGUAUAUUAAAAUCAUUUCAAGAAGCAUUACUUUUAGAGGUGCCUGCAGUAUUGAUAGUAAAUACCUUUCUACAGUAGAGAACUCAUUAGAAUCAGUUUUCUAAAUGGCUUGAUAGGAGACUACAGUGAUUUUGUUGCUGAAAUUCGGCCUCUGUCUGCCGGUGCUGAAUUGAAUCGCAGAGGCAGAGUUUUGGGUAAAGGAGAAAAAAAUAGCUGUAUUGAUUUGCUCGGCAAAGGAGGGUCACAGCGGGCUAAUGCCCUAAGGACUAAGCCCCCCAUUAGAAAGAAUUAUGAGGAGUUUUAUGGUAAAAAGGAGAAAUACGGGGUUUCAGAUAAGGAUUAGGAUUGGGGCAAAUACACCUCCUUCUUUCUUUGAGGGGAAUCUUAGUCGUUGAAGCGGGCAUCAGGAGAUCUCACUCUGAUUCUGGUGGGGGUCUGCUGGGUUAUUGCCGAGAACAACAGUCCUGGAGAAAAGGGUCUAGUGAUCAGAGAUGAGAACAAACCAGGGAAGCUCCCGAAAAACAUCAUGUGCUCUUCAUCUUCAACCCACAGGCCAUUAGGCUCAGGGAGCCUCAUCCUUAGCUCACAGGUGAUGCGUUUAGGGCGCAGUAAAGCCACGGAGAAGGACAAGGAAGGACUCUAAGCUGUCCUAGACGGCUCCUCCCUGGUUUCUGCCUCCCUUCCCUUCCCUGAUCAGCACCUGUCUGAACCUGCCCCUGGGAACUCAGAGAAAGUCAAGGAGGCUGAUCGAGGCCCAUGUCCUAAGAAUAAGAAAUGGGGGACACAGAAAGGCUCGUGUGUCCAGGAGCCCCACAGGGCCGUGUCCAGUUUGAAUUGCAAGACCUGGGAAUGUGCGUCUUCAGCCCUUUAAUAAGAUUCGAGGAGAGAUGUGGCUUCCUAUCUCUAGAAACCUGGUUUCUCACAGUAAUUUUGAAUAUUCGUUUAGAUUUCACAGACCUGUGUGUUCUGCGAAGUUCAAGAUUACAGAUAGAGCUUAAUACAAAUUGUUGCAGUAUUUGCUGACUCCCUAGGGCUAUUUGUCCUUGUCCCAACUGUCAAGAAACCAUCAUAGCCUCUUAAGAUCAGGGCGCUGCUCACGCUCCAUGAGGGUUGUGGCAGCCCCUCUGUGGCCUGGGGUCUGACUUUAUUCCUGCCCUGCUCUGGGCAGAUGGUCCACCUGCUCCAAGUGGUAAGGGGACCAAAAUCUUGUGCCUGUAAACACAGCUUCUCUCUCAUAUCUCUCCAGGUAUUUCUGUUAUGUUGCAAGCAAUGUCUGCCAGCGAAAUCGCAUAGAA